GGAGACCGUUUAAAUAGUGAGAUAUUAAAUCCACUAUUCAUAUUGCUUUGAAAUAUGUGCAUUUUAUUUGAUGGAUGGUGAGCCAACGAGUUAUUAUUGCUAGCGGGUCAGGUCAUUACAAUUGGUAUCAGAGCAAGUUCAACAGCAGGAAGUGUGAGAUGAGUCUUAGCUGAGGCAGGGUCGAAAUGACAGACUGAGCCAGGGUCAGUGAAUGACAGGCUAAGUCAAAGUCAGAAUGAUAAAGCUAGCGAGGCAAGUCUACCAUGGGCAAUAUUAUAUGAUCAAAAUGAAGAUUCCCAAACAUAAUAGACUUUUAUUUAAAAUUGUACUGCGUCAAACUUUGGCUAAAUUGACAAAAUGUAUAUUAAAGGCGUGUUAAACAUGAUUAAAAUGAGUUUCGGAGAGUUUAGAGUGAGUUUGGAUCGAAUUAAAACGAAUUUGGAUCGAAACAGACUUCAAACUCUCGAAUCGGAGCUUCUAUACCACUUUUGAACACUUAGAAUAAGAAUCGGGUGCCUAGAAAUAGUUAUUGAUGGGCCCUUGAAGAGCCCAAAACAUUUGGACUCUCUUCAAGAGAGUUGGAUUUGUGGGAGUUUAAGAUUCGGACGCUUGGAAGACCUAGUGGGCACCCAUAUGUGAUUUUGAAUUCUAUUUGCGGAUGUCCGGAAAUAUUUCGGGCCCUCAACCUUAGAACUCAGGUGCAUGUUAUGACACCCCAAUAGUCCUAAUAGGAAUGAGAUUAUAAUAAUAACUGAAUUUAAGCAUUUUGGACAAGUGUUUUGGGCCUAAUGAGUAAUUAUUACUAGAAGGCCGGGUCGUCACAUUUGGUAUCAGAGCCUAUCAUUAGUCGGAAAUUGUGAGAUAAUUCUCAAUUAAAUUAGGGUCGGAAUGACAGACUAAGCCAGAAUCUAAAUAAUAAGGUGUCAGGUUAAGUCAAGAUCGAAAUGACAAGGCUAAUAAGACAAGUCUGACAUCACUUAGUGAUCUUAGGCUCUGUUUGUGAUUGGGCUGACGAGGACGUUAGGGCCUAAAUGGGAGGAGUCUGUGGCACCUCAAUAGUCCUAUAUCAAUAUGAGAGACUAAGAUAUUAGUAAUAAUAACUGGGGUUAAAUAUUUUGGGUCGGUGGUUUGGGCUCAACGAGUUCUUAUUACUAGUGAGUUGGGUUGUUACAUUUUGUAUGAGAGCUAAUCACUAGCCAAAAGUGUGAGAUAAAUCUUGGUUGAGCCAGGAUCAGAAUGACCGGCUAAGCCAAGGUCAGAAUGAUAAGGUGACAGGCUAACCCAAGGUCAGAAUAACAAGGUUAGCAAACAAGUCUCACAUCACCUGGUUAUCUUAGGUUCUGUGUGUGAUUGGAUUGACGAGGACAUUAGGACUUAAACAGGGGGAGUCUGUGACACCCAUAGUUAGUUAAUUCGGAUUCAGCAAAAAUUCGGUACGGGUAUAAUUCGGAUAAAAUUCGUCUUUUAAUUUUUAAAUUCGUUAAAAAAUACGGCUAAAAAACGGAUUCGGUAAUUAUUCGGAUACGUGAUUUAUACGGAUAUUAUACGUUCACCAAUUAAAAAUUCGGAAUAAAAAAUUCGACUAUAUAAGAAAUAUAUAAUAAUUAAUAUACUAUAUAUAUUAUUAUUAUAAUUUUUGUAUAUAGAUUAAAUAUAUUCAUAUAUUAAUAAUAAACCUUUAUUAAUAAUACAUAAAAUUUAUAUAUUUAAAAAUAUUAAUAAAUAAUUACAAAUUUAUAAACAAAAUAUUGUAUAAAUAUUUUUAUAUAAAAAUAAAAUAAUAUAUAUAAUAAAUGAAUAUAUAUUUAUAAAUAAAAUUUUAUACAUAGUUACACACACACACACGAGAGGGAGGUCCACUGUGGACCUCUCCCUCAUGCGGUCCACGAGGCUGAAAUAGCCUCGUGGACCGCGCGCAUCAAUUUCUCCCAAAAGCCCCGAUUUUUUACUGUUCAUCUUCUUUUUCUGCAGACGACCUCGGGCGAGGAGAUGCGAUCCGGCGCCGCGGCCCUUGCUCCCGGCGCCGGCGAGGGCGGCGGAGGAUGACGACGACGCGAGCGGCGGUGAUGAGAGCGGCGACGACGAGAGCGGCGGUGACGAGAGCGGCGACGACGAGAUCGGCGACAACGCGACCCUCGGCCGUGAGUCGUUGUCGCUGAUUUUUUGUGCGAAUUAUUCGCGAAUCGCGAAUAAUUCGCAAAUAAUCAUUUUUGAUGAAAAGAUCGCGUUUUUUUUCGUAUUUUUCGGAAAAAUACGAAAAACGGCGCUUAAUUCGGAUGUUAAAUAAUACGCGAAUAAUUCGCGUAUUAAUCGCGAAGUAACUAACUAAGGUGACACCUCAAUAGUCCCAUAUCAGAUAGAAAUAAAGUUGUAAUACAAACUGAGUUUAAGGUUUUUGGGCUUGUGGUUUGGGGCUAACGAGUUAUUAUUGCUAGUGAGCUGGGUCGUUACAUGCUUCGACAUUGCAAAUCGAACACCCGAAAUACCCUCUAGUCACUUCAAAAAUAUUUCAGAU
This 2515-nucleotide long non-coding RNA is filed under the name Ananas comosus (pineapple). RNAcentral describes it as "long non-coding RNA (ACOM_LNC030175)". Lineage: Eukaryota; Viridiplantae; Streptophyta; Magnoliopsida; Poales; Bromeliaceae. The record is from RNAcentral.